GUCUCUUCCAGGACAUACGCUAAAAUUAGAACAAUACUGAGAAGAUUAAUAUGGCUCCUGCACAAGGAUAACACACAAAUCAAGAAAUGGUCCAAAAAAGU
This 101-nucleotide small nuclear RNA is filed under the name Trifolium pratense (red clover). Lineage: Eukaryota; Viridiplantae; Streptophyta; Magnoliopsida; Fabales; Fabaceae. The record is from RNAcentral.